UACGUAGGGGGCGAGCGUUGUCCGGAUUCAUUGGGCGUAAAGAGCUCGUAGGCGGCUUGGCAAGUCGGGUGUGAAAACUUCAGGCUCAACCUGGAGCGGCCACUCGAUACUGCCAUGGCUUGAGUCCGGUAGGGGACCACGGAAUUCCUGGUGUAGCGGUGAAAUGCGCAGAUAUCAGGAGGAACACCGGUGGCGAAGGCGGAUCUCUGGGCCGUAACUGACGCUGAGGAGCGAAAGCAUGGGGAGCGAACAGG
RNAcentral lists this ribosomal RNA (254 nucleotides) under uncultured bacterium. Its description in RNAcentral is "partial 16S ribosomal RNA". It matches the Rfam family "Bacterial small subunit ribosomal RNA", at positions 524 to 776 of the family's 1533-position model. The record is from RNAcentral.